GUGGGGAAUUUUGGACAAUGGGGGAAACCCUGAUCCAGCAAUGCCGCGUGUGUGACGAAGGCCUUCGGGUUGUAAAGCACUUUUGGCGGGAACGAAACGGCGUUUUCUAAUACAGAGCGCUAAUGACGGUACCCGCAGAAUAAGCACCGGCUAACUACGUGCCAGCAGCCGCGGUAAUACGUAGGGUGCAAGCGUUAAUCGGAAUUACUGGGCGUAAAGCGUGCGCAGGCGGUUUCGUAAGACAGAUGUGAAAGCCCCGGGCUCAACCUGGGAAGUGCAUUUGUGACUGCGAGACUAGAGUGUGUCAGAGGGAGGUAGAAUUCCACGUGUAGCAGUGAAAUGCGUAGAGAUGUGGAGGAAUACCGAUGGCGAAGGCAGCCUCCUGGGAUAACACUGACGCUCAUGCACGAAAGCGUGGGGAGCAAACAGGAUUAGAAACCCCGGUAGUCC
RNAcentral lists this ribosomal RNA (450 nucleotides) under uncultured bacterium. RNAcentral describes it as "bacterial SSU rRNA". It matches the Rfam family "Bacterial small subunit ribosomal RNA", at positions 354 to 796 of the family's 1533-position model. The record is from RNAcentral.